Long non-coding RNA from Pseudoliparis swirei, 4937 nucleotides. RefSeq lists it as uncharacterized. The transcript has 2 exons. The record is from RefSeq and is a predicted model, not a curated record. NCBI's taxonomy places the organism in Eukaryota, Metazoa, Chordata, Actinopteri, Perciformes, Liparidae.
GUGUCCUCUUUUUCACAAACUCAAAUCUGGUCACCCUACUGGACAUCACUCUGUAACCACAAUGACCUCGGAGUGACUGUGCAUUAUAUUGAUGAGAAGUGGGCGCUGCAUUCACACGCCCUGACUGAUGAAAACAGAGGAGACACAUGAUGCUGAAACGUGCGUGGGACACUUUACUGAAGUUGCACAGCAGUGUAAUGUGACAAAUAAAGUCACCACACUGAGCAGAUAGAGCACCAGAGAUGAUCGCUGCUGCGAGACGACUGCCUUUGAUCAUGUCCCUGCUUCAGUCUCCAGCGCUCUGUCACAGUGUCUCUGCAUAACAGUGCAUUUGACAAUGUCCUGACAGAUUUUAUGGCACUUUAGUUCAUAUGGCAGAACAUUUAAAAUAAGUGUCAAGUUCUAGGAAUUGACAAACUGCACUGAAAGUGUUUUCUGGUGUCUCACUCUAACAGGGACAACACAUGUUAUGGCACUUUCAUUCAUAUGGCAGAACAUUUCAAAUAGAAGUGCGCUAUACACUACUUUUGAAUGAAUUAUUGGAUUUUGCGUAUACAAAUGCGAUUAAUCACGAUUAAUCAGGGAAAUCAUGCGAUUAAUCACGAUAAAAAAUUUUAAUCGUUGCCCAGCCCUAAUUAUUAUACAUUAUUAAAGGGCCUGAUUUCAAAAUUCAGAGCACUGAGUCAACAGUGUCUUUACUUUUACUAAUUGACCAGUGUCCCUUUCCCACUGGACAAAAAAACCAUCCACUGACAUCUGGCUUUUGUCUUCUGAAUAAUUCAUUCCCUGGAGAAAUAAUUCUGGGGUAUUUUUUGGCUCGUGCUCCGAUCGGCAGUGGCACGAAUUCCGUCCGUCUCUGUCGAAGCAGCACUUGCAUGUCAUUCCAAAUCAGCCGGUACCGCGUUUGAAGAGAGGCUGAAUAAGUAACAUAGAAAAGAACGAGUAACCACAGUGACAUUUUAAUGGACUCCCUCGUGAUGUCGAACCAGGAAAAACUAAACUCAAAGGCAGGCCAGUCAAGUUUUGGCAAUAGGAGGAGUCUAGUGCCCGUAUUUAUUUGAAAAGAACAGGUAUGAUUAACAUUCUCAAUAGUAACAUUUUUAUUUCCUGAUUCAAAUGCUCAGUUGUUUUGUAAAGACAACAAGGAAGCUGCAGAGAAAAUCUUUUUGACAUUUUUUUAGUCACAAAUUAAUUAACAUCUUCUCCAGUUAAAAAUUGACCUACCGUCAAUAAUUUCAGCUGUUUGAGCAACGAGUUACAGUUAAUUGUUAGCGUUCCAGGCUGUUGACAGACAAACCACAGCCUCCUUCCAAAGAGGAGGUUUACUUAUUUUGAUCAUUGAAUAACAGCCUCACACUUGGAACAGCGGCCGAUGUCAAUGGAGCUCGGUAAACCGGAUCCUUCUAGCAGGCUCCUAUCGACACAGCUGUUUACACAAUUUCAUACACACACACAGUGAGAUCCAAUACCCAUACUACCAUACUCUGCAGUAUGCCAGAAAAAGAAAAAAGAAAACUAUAUAUAUAUAGUAUGUCAAACGCGGUAUGCCAAAGACUCAUUGACAGCUGCAAUGACAAUGUAGAUAUGUUGUGUACCUUGUUCACAACAUUUCUCUAUAAAUAAGAAAUCAACCAGCAGCCCGACUACAACGUCCCAUAGCAUGUACACCGUUGUGCAAUGUUAUUUUUCUUAUUGCCGCACCAAUAUUUAUUUGGUUUUGGAUUUCCAGCAGGUCUGCUGCCUUCGUAUCACUAACAUGACCCUACCAGGUCUGAAAGACGCAUGUCACUGAAAAAUGAUAUUCUGCAGUCACCUGGCAGGAGCUGCUUUUAAACUGCAGCUUGUGUUUGUGUGUUUUACAACCAGAACUUAUUCUGAAAACAUCGAUGUGUUCUUUAAUUUAAAAUCUGAGUUCUGCUGGACAGGUCAGGCAGGAUGUCGAAUGAAAAUGGCUGCUCGCAGUCAGCGGUAAAUAUCAUGCUCACAAAACACUCGUCAGUCAGAUUGAUAGUAUGUAAUCAUCACUCCGUGAUUCAAUUCAAUUCAGUUUAUUUGUAUAGCCCAAUUUCACAAAUUACAAAUUUGUGAAAUUGCUUUACAAUCUGUACACAUCAGACAUCCCUGCCCCAAAACCUCACAUCGGAUCAGGAAAAACUCCCAAAUAACCCUUCAGGGGGAAAAAAGGGAAGGAACCUUCAGGAGAGCAACAGAGGAGGAUCCCUCUCCAGGAUGGACAGGUGCAAUAAAAGUAAUGUGUACAGAAGGACAGAUUUAGAGUUAAAAUACAUUCAAUGAAUAUGACAGAGUGUAUGAAUAGUUCAUAGUAGGCAUAUUCCACGAUGGAGACCUCCACGAUCCAUCAGGCAGAUGGCGGUGGAGAGGAGGAGUGGGCGGAGUCUCAACAGUGGGCGGAGUCUCAACAGGGCAGUGGCGUGGUCGGUAGCAGGAAUUCCACGACCCAGACCUCGAUGAUCCAUCAGGCAGAUAGGAUCUAUGUCGUCUCAUAGGGUCCGAUGAGACGUGAAGUCAAAAGGACUCCGGGGAGAAAGCAGAGUUAGUAAUGUGUGAUGGAGAGAUGAAAAUUCAUCCCUAAGGAGAGAAAAAAGAGGAGAUAGCAGGGUGUCCGCAGGGCAUUAAAAAGUCUUAAAUUGCUUUUCCUAAAAAUAAGGCCUUAAAAAGUCUUAAAUUGUGUUAAAUUCAGAUUGGAUUGGUCUUAAAUUUUUUGGGUGUCAUGUCAUUACGAAUAUGAGGCAAUCUGUUCUGCCAGGUCCGUAUUUUGCUCCGGUUGCUCUGCGGCGUCUCUGGUGUCACCGGGGCCACGCCCCUUCUCUUAAAGGGGCCGUGAUUCGGUCCCAUCCCCUACAACGUGAAGCAUCGGCUAGUUUAGAAAACAUGGCAGGAUGCAAGUUCAACAACGGCUUGAAAAGAACGAGUGUUUCUGGUCACGGUCGGUGAAAUGCUUCUGAAGCUGCGUUGUGUGUCGGGAGACUUUCCAGCGGUGGAAUCUCACGAGCAGAGCAAGAAGCACAGAGACUAGUGAAGGCCGCCAGCAGCCCGCGGGGCUAGCUCCUGCUCCGCCGCCAGCUCCUGCUCCGCCGCUAGCUCCUGCUCCGCCGCCCGCAACGACGUCAAUGCUACAACGCUGGAGGUCACCGGAGGAAAUCCAGCGCCGUGAAAUGAAGAGCUCAUCACCGAAGUCCAACAGGGCGGCGCGUUCUUCAUUCUGUUUGAUGAGACUCUGGACCAGACCACCACGAGACUCUGGACCAGACCACCGCGAGCAGACAGCUGGACUUCAUGUGUGCUCUCGGUGAAAUGACCAGGUCCCGUCAGGAUCCUGUGGAGCUCAUGGGCCCCGACACGCCCAGGACCUACUUCAGCAUCUCACAGAGAAUGGACCAAAUGUCAACUGGAAGUUUUUAUAUUCAUAUAGUUUGAAAAGGAUUGUUUUCCUAGUAUAUUCACAAAAGCUCAGGAGUAGACAUGAACCUGUGCACAAACAUCCAUCACAUAGAGACAUGAGAACUCACACACACACACACAUACAUUCUGUUAUGUAAAUGUAUUUGCAUUUUAAAAGCAGCUGGAAAUGUUAUUUAUGUUAUUUUAUAGAUUUUUUUUGCACGUAUUUUAAAAAUAUUUGUAAAAUAUAUUUACUUGAUUUUAUAGACAUUUGUUCAUGGGACCUAAAUGUUCUGAAAAUGUUGUAUUAAUAAAUAUAAUUUACAACAGCAAUGACAUUUGUGUUAUCCUUUUGCAGUACACCAUACUGUUAAUUUGUGUUUACUUUGAAUUAAUUAAUUUAGAUUAAUGUAUAUUUCCUUCGUACGUUAGGUCUUAAAUUGUAUUUAGACGUGGUCUUAAAAAGUCUUUAAAAGUCUUAAAUUUCACUGGUUUAUUCCUGUAGACACCCUGAGAUAGGUGCUCAGUGCAUCCUAAAACGUCCCCCGGCAGCUAUAAGCCUAUAGCAGCAUAUCAAGGGGCUGGACCAGGUGAACCUGAUUCAGCCCUAACUAUAAGCUCUGUCAAAGAGGAAAGUCUUAAGUCUACUCUUAAAUGAGGUGACUGUGUCUGCCUACCGGACUGAAAUUGGAAGCUGGUUCCAUAAAAGAGGAGCUUGAUAACUAAAGGCUCUGGCUCCCAUUCUACUUUUUAAGACUCUAGGAACUACAAGUAGUCCCGCAUUUAGUGAGCGCAGCUCUCUAGUGGGGCAAUAUGGUACUACAAGCUCCUUAAGAUAUGAUGGUGCAUCACCAAUCAAGGCUUUGUACGUUAAGAGAAGAAUUUUAAAAGUGAUUCUUGAUUUUACGGGGAGCCAGUGCAGAGCAGCUAGUGCAGGAGUGAUGUGAUCUCUUUUCUUAGUUUUAGUGAGAAUACGAGCUGCAGCAUUCUGGAUCAACUGGAGGGACCUAAGAGACUUAUUAGAGCAGCCUGAUAAUAAGGAGUUGCAGUAAUCCAGUCUCGAAGUAACGAACGCGUGAACCAAUUUUUCUGCAUCUUUUUGAGACAAGAUGUGCCUGAUUUUUGAAAUAUUACGUAGAUGAAAGAAUGCCUUUCUUGAGAUUUGCUUUACGUGGGAGUUAAAGGACAAGUCCCGAUCAAAGAUAACGCCAAGAUUCUUUACAGUGGUGUUGGAUGCUAGGGCAAUGCCGUCUACAGAAACCACAACACCAGAUAAUUGAUCUCUGAGGUGCUCAGGGCCGAGUAAAAUUACUUCGGUUUUGUCUGAGUUUAACAUCAAGAAGUUGCAGGUCAUCCAUGUUUUUAUGUCUUUAAGACAUGCUUGAAUUUUACUUAGUUGGUUGGUUUCCUCUGGUUUUAUCGAUAGAUAUAGUUGAGUAUCAUCUGCAUAGCAAUGAAAGUUUAUGGAGUGUUUCCUGAUAAUAUUGCCCAAAGGAAGCAUGUAUAAGGUAAAUAAAAUUGGUCCAAGCACAGAA